Molecule: ribosomal RNA, 253 nt
Filed under: uncultured bacterium
Lineage: Bacteria
Description: partial 16S ribosomal RNA
Rfam family: Bacterial small subunit ribosomal RNA
Source: RNAcentral
UACGAAGGGGGCUAGCGUUGCUCGGAAUCACUGGGCGUAAAGCGCACGUAGGCGGAUCUUUAAGUCAGGGGUGAAAUCCUGGAGCUCAACUCCAGAACUGCCUUUGAUACUGGGGAUCUCGAGUCCGGAAGAGGUGAGUGGAACUCCGAGUGUAGAGGUGAAAUUCGUAGAUAUUCGGAAGAACACCAGUGGCGAAGGCGACUCGCUGGACAAGUAUUGACGCUGAGGUGCGAAAGCGUGGGGAGCAAACAGG